This 236-nucleotide unclassified non-coding RNA is filed under the name uncultured Elaphomyces. RNAcentral describes it as "sequence contains ITS1". The record is from RNAcentral. Lineage: Eukaryota; Fungi; Ascomycota; Eurotiomycetes; Eurotiales; Elaphomycetaceae.
CCGAGUGUGGGUCCCCUGUGGCCCCCCUUUCCCGGGGGGCCCGGGUUGGCCCUAGACCUCCCACCCUUGUCGAUUGUACCGUGUUGCUUCGGCGGGCCCGCCUCUGGCCGCCGGGGGGCUCGUGAACUUGUGAGCGUUGCCCCCGGGCCCGUGCCCGCCGGAGACCUCCCUCGAAAUGCUACUGUGGUCCGAAAUGCUGUCUGAGUGGGAAUGAUGUGAGAGAAAUUGAUCAGUCA